GAGACACAAACAAGGGGUCUUACUUCACAGAGAAAAGGGACGACGGAUUUGUCCCAAGGCCGAUGCCCACACCUCGUGUUUGGGGACUCAGAGGGGCACAAAGGAAACAAGCAGGGUCCAGAGGGAGGGCCCGGGAUCCCGGACGCAGGGUCCCUGCCUCUGCCUGGAGCCCACACGCUCCUGCACAAGGUGACAUGUGGCAGACCCUGGAAAGCCCUGGAUGACAGCACGGGAGUCAGACUCACAGGCAACAGGCCCCAGAGGUCCUAACCGUGGGAGCGGCUGGCGCCUGGAGAGGCCUCACAGAGCUGCGGUUUCUUUGGAGGGAGCCAGGACGGCGGCGGGACAUCGAGCAUCGAAAGCUGAAGGACCCCAGAUUCUCAAGUCAGCAAAUGCGCUUUGCAUGUAUGCAAACAUCCUGCGCGACAGCCCACGGAAAACCGGUUGUUUCUCGAAUGCCCGGCUCAGCGCUGACCGGAAGUGCCAGCGCCAAGUGUGGCGUCACUGCGGGGCCAUCCGCCUGGGGCUCGGCUCCUGGGCUCUCGCAGGCGCAGGGACACCACUGUCCUGCUGUCCCAGCCGUGGGCCUGCAAGCCUCACAGAGAUGGGCGUCUUGCCUCUGUGACUCGGGGAGCGCCUGUCACCUGGGCGGCUCUGCUCUCCCGGGCUGAGGAACCUGCAUUCACGGCUGUCGCCGGCUGCACACGUUGGAGUGACGACUGCCAGGCAGCAGACGCUGAACUCGGUCCCUGGAGAGGGCGUUAAAUCCAGCCACCGACCGCUCAUCCGGGGAGGCAGGGUCACAAACAGCCGAGCGCAGUCCUCAGAAGUGACCGCACCCGUUCACGACCAACGACCCUAAGGCACGUUACAGGGUGAGCUGGGCACACAGACGAGGCUGCACAGGGACGUCCUGGCUCCGGGGGGCACAGUUCCCGGGGUGCGCGUGGGUCCUCAUCCCGCUUUACAUGGUAACCCGUCACCAUCACUGAGUUUUACAGGACACAGAGGCAAGACCCAACAGCCAAUCGACAGAAUCGCGAGUUAAGAGCCUGAUUAGUGCUUUGUGCAGGGACCCGCCGUGAUUACAGCCGCGCGCGGCCACGCGGGAGGAGACGUAAGUCCACCCACUUCUGUCUGGGCGAAACUGCGUCAGGAGCUGGUGCUUACUGCCCACCCACACUCCCAGUGGCAGGCAGAGGCCCUGGGAUGACGCUGCCUGUGCUCCCGCCGGACCCAGCCUGACCCACCCCUCCAGGGCCUGGGGGCGGCUGCCUCUAAGACGGGCUUGGGACCCAGCGUCCUCCCUGCUGCACACACCAUGUUUUCCCUGCUCCCUGCCGCUCCACCCGGGCGGCUGGGGUCAUGCAAGGGGAAGGUGUGGCCAUCUGUUGGCAAAUUUGGUAAAAGGGCUGAUGAAAAUGUGACUGAAAUCCAACUUUGGGUGACAGAGACAGCGAUGAUUUCCAGGACGGGGAGAGGGGGGCAGCCUCGUCUUCGUGCCUGUCAUCUGUCCCCAGGGGAAAGGCACAGGGCCCUCGAGUCAGGGACCCCAGGGUCCAGGGAGGGCUGGCUCCUUCCCCUUUGGAAAUGUCAAACCUGAGAGCAUGCUUGUGGGAGAGGCCUGGCGCUUCGCUGGAGGGCACCCCCGCAGGGCUUUGGCGCC
Rhinolophus ferrumequinum (greater horseshoe bat) is the source of this 1666-nucleotide long non-coding RNA. RefSeq lists it as uncharacterized. The transcript has 3 exons. Lineage: Eukaryota; Metazoa; Chordata; Mammalia; Chiroptera; Rhinolophidae. The record is from RefSeq and is a predicted model, not a curated record.